Molecule: unclassified non-coding RNA, 278 nt
Filed under: fungal sp.
Lineage: Eukaryota; Fungi
Description: partial internal transcribed spacer region
Rfam family: Eukaryotic small subunit ribosomal RNA (bases 1-65)
Source: RNAcentral
CUUGGUCUAGAGGAAGUAAAAGUCGUAACAAGGUCUCCGUAGGUGAACCUGCGGAGGGAUCAUUACCGAGUUCGUGCCCCUCGCGGGUAGAUCUCCCACCCUUGUGUAUCUCUUGUGUUUGUGUUGCUUUGGCAGGCCGUGGGCCCCCUGUGCUCACCACCGGCCCCCGGGCUGGUGCGCGCCUGCCAGAGGACCUUCUCAACUCUGUGUGUCAGUGUCGUCUGAGUGUGAUUGAGAAACAAUCGUUAAAACUUUCAACAACGGAUCUCUUGGUUCUG